This is a long non-coding RNA of Hevea brasiliensis (rubber tree), 426 nucleotides long. RefSeq lists it as uncharacterized. The transcript is spliced from 3 exons. Lineage: Eukaryota; Viridiplantae; Streptophyta; Magnoliopsida; Malpighiales; Euphorbiaceae. The record is from RefSeq and is a predicted model, not a curated record.
CGCCCCACCUCUCCCUUAACAUCACCAUUACCACACCUCCAUGAAAGCUUGCUCCAAGCUUUAAAUCCCCCAUUAAACCCUAAUUUCUUCCCCAAUCACUUCAUAAAACCUUAUUUUCUUCCUUUGAGAGAGAGAUUUAGCAAGAAAGAAAGAAGGAAAGAGGGGUGGAAUUGAAGAUUGAAAUUCAAAGUUUAAGUUGAAAAGAAUAUCGGGAAAGAACCCGAGGAAUCGAGUCAAGGCUAAGAGGCGACUCGCUUAAGGUGAAAGGAAAUAUAGAGCAGCUGAGCAGGAUUACUGAGAAGACAUAGUGAGACUACCUUCGGGUAUAUCAUAGGUAUACCCUUGUACAUUAGAUUUUGAUGUAAUUCUGUAAUUAUAUGUAUGUAAUUUCAUUUGAGCAAUUGUAUCAACUCUUUUGUAAUAUAU